GUGGGAGGGGGCUUGCUCCCGAUGGCGGCCUGUCAGUCAGUUUAUGUGUGACUGAUGCACCGCUAUCGGGAGCAAGCCCCCUCCCAC
Molecule: unclassified non-coding RNA, 87 nt
Filed under: Pseudomonas palleroniana
Lineage: Bacteria; Pseudomonadati; Pseudomonadota; Gammaproteobacteria; Pseudomonadales; Pseudomonadaceae
Source: RNAcentral